Molecule: long non-coding RNA, 864 nt
Organism: Argentina anserina (silverweed cinquefoil)
Lineage: Eukaryota; Viridiplantae; Streptophyta; Magnoliopsida; Rosales; Rosaceae
Exons: 3
Source: RefSeq, a predicted model, not a curated record
CUCUCUCUGCAACCACACAGACCGCACCAUUCUUUCUUCUCUGCCUAGCUCCGCCGCCAAGGCAAGACUCACACAUGCAUCUCCACCAUCAGAUUUGCCUCAUCAAUCUCUACACAACCAUGCUUGUCAAUCGUAGAAACAUCUUUGUUUCUCAACAGAUCAAAAUCAAAGCAGAGAAAUGCAGCCGGUGAACCUUGAUCUCCGGUGAACCUUCUUGAUUCCAGUUGGUAAGUCUAGCCUCUAAUCUUAUUUCCCAAUCCAUCUCUAUGUUUGAUUUCAUCGAUUUGAAGCUAAACUCAAAUUCUUAUUUUUCUGGGUUUUGUAACCGUCGCCCCUCUUAUUGGCGAAAUUGAGAGCUUCUCCAACCCUCAUUGAGCUUGAGGAUAGCCCAGACGUGGAGCAGGAGCUUUGGAGCAACGUUAGAGCGACAAGUGACUAGAAUUUGGGGCACACAAAUGCAGCAACUCCGAUUGAAUUGGAGACUAAAUUGAGGAUGGAUUCACAAGCAAACUCAAGACCCUCAGCUAUAGAAGGAGAACACCUAAAGUGAAGAACCAACACACACUUGUAUUUAUGUUGAAGAUGUAGCUCUCGUUGAGGCUUUAACUGAAAUUUGUAUUUUUGGGAGCUGGAAAGCUGAUAAUGAAUUCAAGUCAAGAUACUUAGCAGAAAUUCAGAGAAUUAUAAAUCGUAAAGUACCAAAUUGUGGAUUGAAAGCAAACCCACAUAUUGUGUCUCGUGUUAAGACACUAAAAAAACAGACACUUGCCAUCUUCGACAUGAUAACUAACGCAAGUGGUUUUGCAUGGGACAAUGAAUCGAAAAUAAUUGUAUGCUAGAAGCAAGUGUUUGAUGAAUGGGUUA